RNAcentral lists this unclassified non-coding RNA (2909 nucleotides) under Hevea brasiliensis (rubber tree). The record is from RNAcentral. Lineage: Eukaryota; Viridiplantae; Streptophyta; Magnoliopsida; Malpighiales; Euphorbiaceae.
CAUUUCUAGCAUUUUUUCAUUAUGCCUCAAUUCACAAAUUUGUUCAUAUUACACAAGGAUUUUCACCAAAUUUCUAAUUGAUAAGUCAAUCACAGGCAAAUCAAAUUCAAACAGAAGAAUGACAUUGCUGGAAACACAUAAUUUUUUGUUAAACAAACUGGUUCAGAUACACAAACUUCUUGUCAUUUGGCUUCACAAAACUAAUCAUAACAAUGAUAAAUAAGCACAAUGCAGCCAUACAAAUAAACCUAAAUUUUCUAGUAAAUACUUCUCUUAUAUCUUCCUCGUCUUGUAAUUUCUGGAUUCUUUACAGGAGCAUUAUCUUUUCUUCCUUCAACUCGAUGAUCUUUUUCUUCUUUCGCGUCAACUUCUCUUCACAACACUUUAAUUUGUUCCUGUAGCAAACUCAUUUUCCUCCUUCAAUGCAAGAACUACUUCCAAAGACUCAAUCUUGUCAAAUUUUACAUCAAACAUAGCCCCUUUUGUAGAACUAUGGCUGAGCUCAUCAUUGAGCCAAAGAAUUUUUUUUUUUUUUUGGGGGGCAAAUCCCCUAAUCACUCCCUUAGUUAAAGUCAAAUUCCUUGGUCAAUUCCUUAAUCGCACCACUUGUGCUCCUUAAUUACGGUGUGAUAGUAUAAAAUUUUUAGUUAUCCCAGCGGGCAAUCAGCCUCGGUUGAAACAAAAUAGAAGUCAAAAGAUGCUUAUAUUACCGGAAAUAUUUUCUGAUCUCCACAAUUGUUGACCUCUUUUGAGUGCGAGAAAAAUUAGAACCUUCUACAAGAAAAAUGCAAUCCCGUUGGCUUGGCAAAGAUAAGUUGGCUUGGCAAAGAUAAAAGAGUUCAACGUUGACAAAGAAAAUAAAAAUUCAAUGGUAAAUGAUUAGCUUUAGCUCAAUAAUUCUACCAUAGUCUAUAGAAUUGUAAAAUCUUAAAUUCGAAUUUCAAUCGAAAUAAAUCACAUAAAAAUAUGUCAACCAUCCCAGGAAAUGUGAUAUUAAGACUAAAAGGUAUUCCAAUGAUUCAAUCAAUACCAUAAAAAUAUUCAAAUUUUAAUUUAAUAUAACUCAAAUAUUUUGAGAAGAUUUCAUUUGUUACUCUUACAAGAAACUGAUAUAGACAUGCAUAAAUGGCGAGACUUCUCUCUAUAUGGCAAAAGAGAUAUUUUUUAUUGUGCCUAAUCCAUUAAGGCAUGUCCAAAGUAUCCAACGAAAUCUGAUCAGAUAGACUUGAAUAGUAUUAAAUAUUUUUUUGAUAUAAAUUGAAGUCAAAGGAACGAUGAGUAACAGUAGGUAAAAUUAAGCCUCCAGUGAAUGAAAUGAGCUGCUAUCGGAGCACAAAUGACAGAACAAACUCCUAGAAGUAACAUAAAAAUUAAAACUAUCUUAAAGUUUUCACAUUGCUAAAAGUUUAGCUCAUCUUCAGCAGGGAAUUACAAUGCAAGGGUUAGUUAUUCAAGUGCAAGAAAGGCACCUUUAUCAAAUCGUUCUUAUAUAUCCAGUUUCUCAUAUUACAACUCUCUCCCUUGGUAGACUGUACAAAUUCCACAAGCGAGCAAAAAAACUGAUUCCUUUAGUUUGCAGUUGAGGAAACUUCUUGGAUUUCAUCAUAUGUGCCAGUCUCCUCAUUGAAUGAGUACCAUUUCCCUGAUGUUGCAUAACAGUACAAUCCUGUAGAUGGGUCAUAAUAGUAACCUGAACUGCUGCUAUAGUAGUACCCAGAUGCCUCAUCAUAAACAUAAUCAUCUUGCAAAUCUCCAGUUUCAGAACCAGAGAUCUGGCCAUCUGAAAGUGGUUGACUAACUCCAUUAGAACUAGGGCCAGAAACCAAAUUACUACUGUUGGAGGAUGGUCCAGCAGUAGCAUUAUCAUCAUCGUCUGCAAACAUGUCGUAUGCAUCAGCAUCAUUGUGUGAGGUAUGUCCAGCAGAUACAUUUGUGUUUGAACCACCCACAUCAGCAUUGGACAAUAUCGAGGAGCCUGCUCCAUGAUCUGUUAUAUCAGAGGACAAGUCCUUUCCCACGCUGUAAGAAAUUUCCUGGCCUGCACUCGGAUAUGCGCUCUUCUCCCUAGCCAGAGCUAACUUCUCAUAUCCUUCUGCCUCCCGCUCGAAUACCUCCUGCUUGUCGUGAUAGACAUUGUAUUCGCCAUGAUCCAACAACUUGUUUGCAUCUUCAGUCAGCUGGUCAAAUAGAAGCUGUGUCUCAGCUGACAUCUUCUCUUUCCUCUUAUUUGAACCACCCUUCAACCUUCUCAAAGCUUGUAACACCGUUUCCCCUGGUUCAAGAAAGUUGGCAAUACGCCUCUUUAUUAUUCCAAUGUCUUCAGAUGAAAGUUCGCUUGAAUCAUUUUUAUUAUCAUCUUCUAUUGUUGUUACCAUAGAGCUUUUGCCAGCAAAUCUUGGAUCAACUUCAACACUAUCAAGCCAUGCAUCCUUGUGUUCAUUCUCAUUGACAUACUCAACAAAAUUUCCAUCUACAUCAAAGUAGCCUUCUUCCCUUUCUUGGUCAAGAUUGAAUGGUUCUAUUUGAAUCCCAUCUUCAACAAAAUUUUCAUUAUCCUCAUAAGUGACUUCAGCUGCAGAAGCCUCAUUGAGUUCUUCGCUAAAGAGUUCAGCAGUGAUAAGAUUACGACGCUUUGCACGCUCCUGCGCAGCCAAACGGGGAUCUUUCGUAUCGGUCGGAAUAUCUUCAACUUUGGCUCUACUCACUAUUGCUUCGUCCCCUGGCUUCACCUUCUUACCCUUGGGAAAUCGAAUUUUCUUCUGCUUGGGGGGUUUGUUGGAGUCGUCGUCCUCAUCUUCGCCUUCCAAGAAAGGACGCUUGCGAUUAGAGCGAGAAGGAAUCAUACCUUCCAUUGUUAAAGAAACAAGAACAGCUCUACGUAGCAAUUCCGAGAGAGAGAGAGAGAGAGA